AUGAUUUUUGAGGUCUACAGUUCAAAUCGACUCAAAAAUCAAUUCGAGCCGACUUGACGUUAUCUGACAAGUAUAACGGCUAGUUCUGCAGAAGCCCAUUUUCAUUCAGAAAAAAUUUUUAACAACUAUUUUCUACCUCCAACGAUAAAAAAUGGCUAGUAUUAAAUUCAAAUCAAUCAGAGCUUGGAGGAAAUGAAUAAGAAAUAAAAAAAGUAAGAAAAUGAAAGAAAAGCACUGUUCAUAGCAAAAAGAGCACUUUGAGCAUUUAAUAGUCUUCAAGAGAGUUCACCUACUUUCAAUAACUUUUUUUUUAAUUUUUUGAGUGCAUUCA
Molecule: long non-coding RNA, 331 nt
Filed under: Elaeis guineensis (African oil palm)
Lineage: Eukaryota; Viridiplantae; Streptophyta; Magnoliopsida; Arecales; Arecaceae
Description: long non-coding RNA (EGUI_LNC076006)
Source: RNAcentral